CCUACGGGGGGCAGCAGUGGGGGAUAUUGCACAAUGGGGGAAACCCUGAUGCAGCGACGCCGCGUGUGGGAAGACGGUCCUCUGGAUUGUAAACCACUGUCCCCAGGGACGAAGAUGACGGUACCUGGGGAGGAAGCUCCGGCUAACUACGUGCCAGCAGCCGCGGUAAUACGUAGGGAGCGAGCGUUGUCCGGAAUUACUGGGUGUAAGGGGAGCGUAGGCGGGGAUGCAAGUUGGGUGUCAAAACUACCGGCUCAACUGGUAGUCGCACUCAAAACUGCAGCUCUUGAGUGAAGUAGAGGCAGGCGGAAUGCCUAGUGUAGCGGUGAAAUGCGUAGAUAUUAGGAGGAACACCAGUGGCGAAGGCGGCCUGCUGGCUUCCGACUGACGCUGAAGCACGAAAGCGUGGGGAUCGAACAGGAUUAGAUACCCGAGUAGUC
RNAcentral lists this ribosomal RNA (440 nucleotides) under uncultured bacterium. RNAcentral describes it as "partial 16S ribosomal RNA". It matches the Rfam family "Bacterial small subunit ribosomal RNA", at positions 338 to 795 of the family's 1533-position model. The record is from RNAcentral.